UGGGGAAUCUUGCGCAAUGGACGAAAGUCUGACGCAGCGACGCCGCGUGGGCGACGAAGGCCUUCGGGUUGUAAAGCCCUGUGGGGCGGGACGAACACGGAGGGUUCGAACAGGACUCUUCGCUGACGGUACCGCCUUAGCAAGCACCGGCUAACUCUGUGCCAGCAGCCGCGGUAAGACAGAGGGUGCAAACGUUGCUCGGAAUUACUGGGCGUAAAGCGCGUGUAGGCGGUGCGGCACGUCCGAUGUGAAAGCCCGGGGCUCAACCCCGGACGUGCAUUGGAUACGACCGUGCUGGAGUCCUGAAGAGGAGGGCGGAAUUCCCGGUGUAGAGGUGAAAUUCGUAGAUAUCGGGAGGAACACCAGUGGCGAAGGCGGCUCUCUGGACAGGUACUGACGCUGAGACGCGAAAGCGUGGGUAGCAAACAGG
This 430-nucleotide ribosomal RNA is filed under the name uncultured bacterium. RNAcentral's name for it is "bacterial SSU rRNA". It matches the Rfam family "Bacterial small subunit ribosomal RNA", at positions 355 to 776 of the family's 1533-position model. The record is from RNAcentral.